GCAAUGUUGCUCAAGGUGAAGUACCAGAAUACCAAGAAGUACAUCCGAUUGCUGUUGGGGUUCACCUUUUUGGAUUUCAUUGCUCAAGUCAAAUACAAGUUUGGGCUUCCUGAUGCUACCGAACUUGAUGCUUUUGAUGAAACCAACACAUUAGUCGAGGAAGACAUCUUUUCUGAACUGAUAGAGGCCAGUCCGGAUUUAUGCCUGACAGUACGUGACAGAAUUCCUGAUGCAGCUCAGACACUGGAGGAAAACAUCAUUCUUGAGAUACAGCUUGAUCCUGGUCCAAGUCCAACAACAC
This is a long non-coding RNA of Seriola dumerili (greater amberjack), 301 nucleotides long. RefSeq lists it as uncharacterized. The record is from RefSeq and is a predicted model, not a curated record. Lineage: Eukaryota; Metazoa; Chordata; Actinopteri; Carangiformes; Carangidae. The transcript has 3 exons.